Molecule: long non-coding RNA, 619 nt
Organism: Hirundo rustica (Barn swallow)
Lineage: Eukaryota; Metazoa; Chordata; Aves; Passeriformes; Hirundinidae
Exons: 3
Source: RefSeq, a predicted model, not a curated record
GCCACUGAAAGUAUCAGCAGCAGUUUUAUGCAAGCGAAAACAAUUUUUUUUAAAAAAAUUAUUUUAUUGGUUUUGUUUCCGGUUUUGGUUGGUUUGAGCAUUUUACUCUUUGCAGUGUCUGUUUUGUUUUGUUUUGCCGGUGAUGGUAAACCUUAACCUUACAGGCUAGAAAGGGGCAGAAGUGGUUCCGUGAAAUACACGAGGCUGGUUUGCACCGGCACAGACUUACUCAGGAGCUCCCACCGCUCUGCCAGAGCAGAGGCCAGGCUGAGCACAUGGAUCUGUGGCUCUUUUGGCUUCUCCAAAGGACAAGAUAGAAGCAAUUAAGUGCUUCACAUUUGCUAAGAUGUCUUGGGAGAAGGGACUUAAUGCAGUGGCUUUUGCUGUGCCUGUGACAGAAGGAAUUUGUGUGACGUGGAGGAUGGCAGGGCCUUCAACAACCUUCUCCAUAAAUGUGCAUUUUGCAAGUUUAUGAUUGGCAGUUUUGGAAGAGAAGAGCUAUUCCUGUAGAAUGGAUUAAACAAAUGGGUUGAAUCGCGGUGUGUGAAUGUUUUUGAGAUAGUCUUGCUUUUGUUCAACAUAAAUCUUGCGUAUUUAAUCCUUAUACUCUUUGUGUCCA